AAGUCGUAACAAGGUUUCCGUAGGUGAACCUGCGGAAGGAUCAUUAACACUUAAAAUAAAAACAAUUUCCCUUUUGAAUCCCUCUCUUUUCUUUUCUCUUUUUCUCUUUGGAGAGACUGAGGAAGUCAAGAGAUUUUCAAAUUUAAUUUGAACAAAAAUGUGUAACCUUACUUUUUUACUUAUGGAUUUGAGGGCACAAGUGAGGGGGGGUUUUCUCUCUCUCUCUCUUUGUGGUUCUCAGAUUUUCUCAUAAACCAGUUAAACCCAAAAACAAAAUAUGGCGUAUCUCAAAGGGACUUUUUGUCUCUCUGACGAUCCCCCAUAGUUAAACCAAAAACAAAAAACCAAAAACAAAAUAAAAACAAAAUAAAACACAACUCUUAACAAUGGAUAUCUUGGUUCUCGC
RNAcentral lists this unclassified non-coding RNA (406 nucleotides) under fungal sp. RNAcentral describes it as "partial internal transcribed spacer region". The stretch from base 1 to 46 matches the Rfam family "Eukaryotic small subunit ribosomal RNA", at positions 1786 to 1831 of the family's 1831-position model. The record is from RNAcentral. Lineage: Eukaryota; Fungi.